RNAcentral lists this non-coding RNA (19 nucleotides) under Arabidopsis thaliana (thale cress). The record is from RNAcentral. Lineage: Eukaryota; Viridiplantae; Streptophyta; Magnoliopsida; Brassicales; Brassicaceae.
CUGCUGGUCCGAUCUCAUA